GACAGAGGGUGCAAACGUUGCUCGGAAUUACUGGGCGUAAAGCGCGUGUAGGCGGUGCCGCACGUCCGAUGUGAAAGCCCGGGGCUCAACCCCGGAAGUGCAUUGGAUACGACGGCGCUGGAGUCCUGAAGAGGAGGGCGGAAUUCCCGGUGUAGAGGUGAAAUUCGUAGAUAUCGGGAGGAACACCAGUGGCGAAGGCGGCUCUCUGGACAGGUACUGACGCUGAGACGCGAAAGCGUGGGUAGCAAACAGG
RNAcentral lists this ribosomal RNA (253 nucleotides) under uncultured bacterium. RNAcentral's name for it is "partial 16S ribosomal RNA". It matches the Rfam family "Bacterial small subunit ribosomal RNA", at positions 524 to 776 of the family's 1533-position model. The record is from RNAcentral.